This is a long non-coding RNA of Notolabrus celidotus (New Zealand spotty), 724 nucleotides long. RefSeq lists it as uncharacterized. The record is from RefSeq and is a predicted model, not a curated record. NCBI's taxonomy places the organism in Eukaryota, Metazoa, Chordata, Actinopteri, Labriformes, Labridae. The transcript is spliced from 2 exons.
AGAAAAUACAACAGGAGACAUGGAUCACUAAACACACAAGAGAGACAAAGUGACAUGCACCGGCAUCCGGAAGUCUCCUUUGGCACAGAGAUACCAGCCGCUGCUGUGUGUUCUCAGUCCACUCAGAGUCACUGUGAACUCUGUCUGGCUCGUUUGAGUAAUGGUCACUGUUGUUCCUUCGAUUGUUCCAGACGGCUCCUUCACAAAGGACCCUCCAAGUGUGUGCCAAGAGAUUUGUCCACUGAUCCUGUGUCUAAAGUGGAUGGAUACACUUUCUCCACUAAACCCUGUCACCUCCUGAUGAUCCACAGAGAGCUGGGGCUGAUCUUGAGGGAAAACAAAUAGACUUCACUGUAAUGUGGACAGCAGCCAUGUAUCAGUACUCUCUAAGAGGGCAGCUACUAUGUUCAGUUUCAUCUUCCAGAUAAAUGAGUCCAACAUUCAACAAAUAUAAUGACAGACAGUUAUCAUUGUUUCAAAUGAUCUUCUAGUGUUCUUCUCAAUAUUACUAUUAAAAACAGACAUGACUGAUAUGAAAUAAUGAGGAAGCUGUUUCAACAAUGAAUUUUAAAACCUUUGCUCUCUUUUCUUUACGUAUGUUAAUGUCUGAGAGACUGAAAUGUGCAGAAACUGAAAAUGCUCCAUCAGCGAGCUGACAGCCAGAUACAGCUCAUCAGUCCGAUUAAAGUUCAGAACUAACAGACCUCCACAGUCAGGCCCCUAC